RNAcentral lists this ribosomal RNA (169 nucleotides) under Rhodocybe paurii. RNAcentral describes it as "partial large subunit ribosomal RNA". It matches the Rfam family "Eukaryotic large subunit ribosomal RNA", at positions 99 to 261 of the family's 3401-position model. Lineage: Eukaryota; Fungi; Basidiomycota; Agaricomycetes; Agaricales; Entolomataceae. The record is from RNAcentral.
CGGGAAGAGCUCAAAUUUAAAAUCUGGUAGUCUUCGACUAUCCGAGUUGUAAUCUAGAGAAGCGUUAUCCGCGCUGGACCGUGUACAAGUCUCCUGGAACGGAGCGUCAUAGAGGGUGAGAAUCCCGUCUCUGACACGGACUACCAGGGCUCUGUGAUGCGCUCUCAAA